RNAcentral lists this ribosomal RNA (233 nucleotides) under uncultured Rhodocyclaceae bacterium. Its description in RNAcentral is "partial 16S ribosomal RNA". It matches the Rfam family "Bacterial small subunit ribosomal RNA", at positions 1150 to 1382 of the family's 1533-position model. Lineage: Bacteria; Pseudomonadati; Pseudomonadota; Betaproteobacteria; Rhodocyclales; Rhodocyclaceae. The record is from RNAcentral.
UGCCGGUGACAAACCGGAGGAGUGGGGAUGACGUCAAGUCCUCAUGGCCCUUAUGGGUAGGGCUUCACACGUCAUACAAUGGUCGGGUACAGAGGGUUGCCAACCCGCGAGGGGGAGCUAAAUCCCACAAAGCCGAUCGUAGUCCGGAUCGCAGUCUGCAACUCGACUGCGUGAAGUCGGAAUCGCUAGUAAUCGUGGAUCAGCAUGUCACGGUGAAUACGUUCCCGGGUCUU